AGAGUUUGAUCCUGGCUCAGAACGAACGCUGGCGGCAUGCCUAACACAUGCAAGUCGAACGAGACCUUCGGGUCUAGUGGCGCACGGGUGCGUAACGCGUGGGAAUCUGCCCUUGGGUUCGGAAUAACAGCGAGAAAUUGCUGCUAAUACCGGAUGAUGACGUAAGUCCAAAGAUGUAUCGCCCAAGGAUGAGCCCGCGUAGGAUUAGCUAGUUGGUGAGGUAAAGGCUCACCAAGGCGACGAUCCUUAGCUGGUCUGAGAGGAUGAUCAGCCACACUGGGACUGAGACACGGCCCAGACUCCUACGGGAGGCAGCAGUGGGGAAUAUUGGACAAUGGGCGAAAGCCUGAUCCAGCAAUGCCGCGUGAGUGAUGAAGGCCUUAGGGUUGUAAAGCUCUUUUACCCGGGAUGAUAAUGACAGUACCAGGAGAAUAAGCUCCGGCUAACUCCGUG
Molecule: ribosomal RNA, 453 nt
Filed under: uncultured bacterium
Lineage: Bacteria
Description: bacterial SSU rRNA
Rfam family: Bacterial small subunit ribosomal RNA
Source: RNAcentral